RNAcentral lists this transfer RNA (72 nucleotides) under Camelus bactrianus (Bactrian camel). It matches the Rfam family "tRNA". From Rfam's summary of the family: Transfer RNA (tRNA) molecules are approximately 80 nucleotides in length. Their secondary structure includes four short double-helical elements and three loops (D, anti-codon, and T loops). Further hydrogen bonds mediate the characteristic L-shaped molecular structure. tRNAs have two regions of fundamental functional importance: the anti-codon, which is responsible for specific mRNA codon recognition, and the 3' end, to which the tRNAs corresponding amino acid is attached (by aminoacyl-tRNA synthetases). tRNAs cope with the degeneracy of the genetic code in two manners: having more than one tRNA (with a specific anti-codon) for a particular amino acid; and 'wobble' base-pairing, i.e. permitting non-standard base-pairing at the 3rd anti-codon position. RNAcentral also lists the same sequence under 2 other names. Lineage: Eukaryota; Metazoa; Chordata; Mammalia; Artiodactyla; Camelidae. The record is from Rfam by way of RNAcentral.
AAGGGUAUAACUCAGUGGCAGAGUGCAUGCUUUGCAUGCACGAGGUCCUGGGUUCAGUCCCCAGUACCUCCA